AACGAACGCUGGCGGCAUGCCUAACACAUGCAAGUCGAACGAGACCUUCGGGUCUAGUGGCGCACGGGUGCGUAACGCGUGGGAACCUGCCCUUAGGUUCGGAAUAAUUCCCCGAAAGGGGUGCUAAUACCGGAUAAUGUCUUCGGACCAAAGAUUUAUCGCCUUUGGAUGGGCCCGCGUUGGAUUAGCUAGUUGGUAGGGUAAAAGCCUACCAAGGCGACGAUCCAUAGCUGGUCUGAGAGGAGGAUCAGCCACACUGGGACUGAGACACGGCCCAGACUCCUACGGGAGGCAGCAGUGGGGAAUAUUGGACAAUGGGCGAAAGCCUGAUCCAGCAAUGCCGCGUGAGUGAUGAAGGCCUUAGGGUUGUAAAGCUCUUUUACCCGGGAUGAUAAUGACAGUACCGGGAGAAUAAGCUCCGGCUAACUCCGUG
Molecule: ribosomal RNA, 433 nt
Filed under: uncultured bacterium
Lineage: Bacteria
Description: partial 16S ribosomal RNA
Rfam family: Bacterial small subunit ribosomal RNA
Source: RNAcentral